Molecule: ribosomal RNA, 407 nt
Filed under: uncultured bacterium
Lineage: Bacteria
Description: partial 16S ribosomal RNA
Rfam family: Bacterial small subunit ribosomal RNA
Source: RNAcentral
GACGAACGCUGGCGGCAGGCCUAACACAUGCAAGUCGAGCGGAGCGGCGGACGGGUGAGUAAUGCCUAGGAAUCUGCCUGGUAGUGGGGGAUAACGUCCGGAAACGGGCGCUCAUACCGCAUACUAUCAGAUGAGCCUAGGUCGGAUUAGCUAGUUGGUGGGGUAAAGGCCUACCAAGGCGACGAUCCGUCACUGGUCUGAGAGGAUGAUCAGUCAAACGGGGACUGAGACACGGGCCAGACUCCGACGGGAGGCAGCAGGGGGGAAGAUUGGACAAUGGGCGAAAGCCUGAUGCAGCCAGGCCGCGUGGGUGAAGAAGGUCGUCGGAUUGUAAAGCACUUGAAGUUGGGAGGCGUUACCAACAGAAUAAGCAACGGCUAACUUCGUGCCAGCAGCCGCGGUAAUUC